Molecule: long non-coding RNA, 1913 nt
Organism: Tachysurus fulvidraco (yellow catfish)
Lineage: Eukaryota; Metazoa; Chordata; Actinopteri; Siluriformes; Bagridae
Exons: 3
Source: RefSeq, a predicted model, not a curated record
CACGUGUGUAUGUGUGUGUGUCAUAAAGAGCUCCACAGCACAGUUUGUUGUUUGUGCACUAAUGAAUGAAUGCUGAAGCUUCCUGGAGCACACAGAGAGUGAGCAGAAACUGUAGACUGCAGACUCAUAAGUUCUCACAGUCAUCAAAUGCUGUUGUUUUCCUUGGCUGACCUGUUUGAAGUCUGGAUGUUACACAAGUAGUUCUUUUCUUUUUUAGGAUGUUCCAAAUUGUUGUAUUAGCUAUGCUUAAUGCCUGUGCAAUUGUGCUAGCACCUUUUCUCAACUACAAAAUGGCUUGCUUUUUUCCACCUACCUGAAGGCACUUAUUGCAUCGCUCUGUGCUCCACCGUCCCUUAAAGUCUCCAGCACAACUCGACUUGACCCACCUUCCUUCACGUUAACACACUGGGCUUCAAUCCUUGACGAGUGGAGAUUCCUCCUAUCCAGCCCCGCCAAAGCAAAUACCCCACAAUGCAUUUGGCCACAACAUUUUCAAGCUGUUUCCCCAUUGGACCACCAAUCUGUUCCCACAGCAGCCGGAUAAGCAAAGGGUCCCACAGGCUUGUGAGUAAUGCACCUGUGUUUAAUACCUGGCAACUGAGAGCCUGGGAUGGUAAGAGGUGAGGUAAUUGAGUUAAUUUUAGGUAAUUAGACCCCCUCGUGUUUGUGUCUAUGAGAGUUUGUGGUUUCAUGUGCACGUGCAUGUACAUAAUGUAUAUAAUCAUUUUUCUCCCCUUGUGCCUCCAUGUGUAGGUGCCAGAAGGAUGCAAAGCCGCAACAGGCUGACAUAAUACACAUGAAUAUGGGUGUGUGUGAUUGUAGUGUGUGCAAGGCCAGCUGUUCAAACAGGCCUGUGAAUAAUGAGCUCUCUGCAUGUCUCCCAGCCAGACACGCAACACAGCCAAGAUGAGCAAACUGUGGAAAAACAUCUAUUACUGAUUCCCUGAACCUUCAGAACCAGCAACAAAAUGGAUAUCAUUUUUCAUCAUAAAUUGAGAAGUUAUAUAUUACAUUUACUGUGUGUAAUGUUUACAUGAACACUUUUUUCUAUAAUUAUGUUUACUCAUUUACAUUUUGAAACAAUUAAAAUUUUCUGUGACUCUAAUUAGGAAACUCAGAGACUGGUGUAAAAGUGUGCAUAUGACUACUCUGUGUGAAUUGUCCAACAUUCAUUCAUUCAUUCAUUAAUUCAGUCAGUCAUUCAUCAGAAAUUUAUAGAGCACAGGGAAUGAGGCAGGACUAUACAUCAGCUGGAACAUCAUUCAAUUGCAGACCACACACACACACACACACACACACGUUCACACAUUCACCCCCUCAUUCACACUGAAACCUACAGAAAAACUGUAGAUAUGUAAAAUUCCACAGAGACAGUAUCCUAAGCUAAGAAUUAAACUGGAGACCCUGGAACUGUGAGGCGCUGCUAUAUUUAGUGCCCUAUAUUAUGUUAAGUUUUUUAUGUUUGUCCAGUAGAGAACAACUAAGAGCUACCAUAUUCUAUAUUUUCUGUCUUUUCUUAUUCCAUAUAUUAAUUGCUGAUAAAGUAGUAAUGUUUUAGUAUGUUUUUUUAAACAGGGCUUUAUAUCUUAUGAAUAAAAGUUCAACCAAAUUUCAGUAUAUUUCAUUUUAGUUGCUGUCGUCCGGUUCUGAUUUAAAACUGUAAGACUAGGUUGAAUUUUCAAUUUGUUCAUUGCUUGUUUUUUUAUUUUGUCUGUGAGUGUGUGUUUGUGACACAUCAUCACUUCAUCUUGUAUUGAUAUUUGUGGACCAUGACUAGAAAUGAGUCCUUGUAAGUAAUAUUGUCGCAACUGCACUGAUGCCAUCAGAAACCAGAGCUGCUGAUGCAGAAAGCACUUAUUGUCACACUCAGUCCCGACUAAUAAAAGUCUUCUUUUCUCUCUCCCAUUUUUCUC